UGGGGAAUUGUUCGCAAUGGGCGCAAGCCUGACGACGCAACGCCGCGUGGAGGAUGAAGAUCUUCGGGUCGUAAACUCCUUUCGACCGAGAUGAAUUCCCGCCGACCUAACACGUCGGCGGGGUGACAGUCUCGGGAGAAGCAGCCCCGGCUAACUCCGUGCCAGCAGCCGCGGUAAUACGGGGGGGGCAAGCGUUGUUCGGAAUUACUGGGCGUAAAGGGUUCGUAGGCGGCCUGCUAAGUCGAACGUGAAAUCCCCGGGCUCAACCCGGGAACUGCGUCCGAUACUGGCGGGCUUGAAUCCGGGAGAGGGAUGCGGAAUUCCAGGUGUAGCGGUGAAAUGCGUAGAUAUCUGGAGGAACACCGGUGGCGAAGGCGGCAUCCUGGACCGGCAUUGACGCUGAGGCGCGAAAGCCAGGGGAGCAA
This 425-nucleotide ribosomal RNA is filed under the name uncultured bacterium. RNAcentral's name for it is "bacterial SSU rRNA". It matches the Rfam family "Bacterial small subunit ribosomal RNA", at positions 355 to 771 of the family's 1533-position model. The record is from RNAcentral.